CCCUCCCCCAUGAUGUAGCUCUGGGGUCCAGCCACAGGGUGGCAGGCUAGCCAGGAUUUCCCAUCUUUCCUCUGCCAAGCCUAGACCAAGCAUUUCACCAGCUGCAUCGGGUGCAGCCUGCGUCUCCCAGUCAAGCGCCUGUGGGAGGAAGAUCCGGCUGCCGCCUGUGGGCAGCCACUUGGAGCAUCUGCCGUCGUCCCCGCAAACAAGAGAGCAAACUUGAGAGACGAUACUUUAAAAACUUUGUAUUCAAUUAUUCACACCAAAGAAUAUCCAUUAAAAUUAUGAACAUUUCUAAAUAGAUUUCAUGUAUCAUACAUAUAUAUAUACUUUAUAUGUAUAAUUACAUAUCCACAAAAGAUUGUUACUGCUUUAGGCAUGUGGGUAGAACAAAGAUAGAGAUUCUGCAGUGUAACACCCAUAUAUGCUUAUAUACUGGCUGCUUGAAUUAUGAAUUUAUUUACACCUCGCCCGAGUUAUAAUAAAUGAUUACUGUUCUAUUAUACAAACGUAACAGUAAAGGUUUUUUAAAUACAAAGACUGCAAAUGAAUACAUGAAAAAUUACACACAUGUACAAUAUUUAUAAUUUAUAAAUGUAAAGAUAAGACUUCUUUAAAUUAUUGCACUUGCGCACUUUACAAAGAUUUUUUUUUAACGUCAUACAUAUAAAAUCAUCUUUUUGGAAUUUACUAACUCAUCGACUAUAAUAACAUUGGAUAUUGUGAACUUGGAAUUCUUUCUUUCCCCCUCCAAAAGAGAGCCCAUUAAGGCUUUGGCUGCAGACCCAUCCACCGAGGAUCAGUUGCUCGGACCUGUGCUCCUGUUCCCGCGGGUGUUGGCCAGCGAGGAGGCUGUCACCGUGACCUCUGAGGUGCCUUGGCUGGGUGUGGAUGGAGAAUCUCUUUUGUUCCUAUGUUCACGUGGAGAAAGUUGUUCUUCUCAGAAAGAAUCCAGACGCUGCACUUGUAGUUUGGAAAGUGUUUCACAGUGUUCUGGGCAAGUACGUGAUUUUUAAAUAGGUAGGGCCCUGUACAGAAAUACUUCUGUGCAUCAAUCAACUGCACUUCUUUUGUACAGUAAAUGAACAUGUAGCAUAUACUCCAUACAACAGAUCAUAUGGAAACAGUAUUCCCACACGCCAUUUCUAUUCACUAUUCUAAGAUACAGCAUAAGACUGGGGAUAAGGGUGACCCAACCAAAGAAGAGAGCGGGGACGCCCAUGGUAGAGUGAUCUUUUAGGUGGGCUAGACAAAAACAAGUGUUUGGGGGGAAAAUUUACAUCAGAGAUAAAACAUCUGCAAAUGUAUAUUCCUGGAGGUUAAGCACUGAGAUGUGUGUGCUCACUUCCUUUGCAGUCGACUCUGUAUGCAGCUAAGGUUCUGCCCUGGUGUCUGGGCGUUAUCUGUGCCCCCCACCCAGGGUCAGCCCUAGUGUGUUGUUUCAGUUACAAAUCCUCACAAUUACAGUAACAGCAGGCAGACUGCUCACAGCCCACACAGCACCAACUUCCACUACUGAGCAGGGACAAGUCAGGUGACUGAGGCAGUGUUUCUUUGGGUUCUGAGUGUGUUUUUCUUAAGGAGACAUCAGCUUUGUGGUUCUAUACUCCUCACUGGCAACAAGGACACCUCUAAGCAUUUUUUUUUUCUUUCUUUUGCUCUGUUUUUGUCAAUGCAUAAAACGCCUUAAAUACUUCUAUUGAUCACACUGUACAGCUUUGUUUAACAGUAAGAAUGUUGUACUCCACUGGGCAUCUCUAAUUUAAACUUAGUAUAAAUAAUGCGGCCAAAUGGGCAGCAACAGAAGCUCCCAUGUGGAAAUGUAACUGUCACGCAAGGGGAAGCCACAGCUGACAGCACACGUGACUUAACUCCAACUUCACACUGACCGUCAAGUCAGACUGAUAGUUGAAACAGAAGGGGACUGUGAUUGGAUGAACAGUCUUCCAAGAAUCCCCCUGCACACAAGGCCAGCGGAGCACAAAGCAAAUGCGGGUUUGGAAUAUACAGAGAGAAGUGACUUUCAAUAAAUACCAAAGCCAGCCGAGGAGCCAUGACCCUUAGAGAUCCAUCCGUGCCUCUGACUGGAGCCACAGAUCUCGACAAACCAGAGGACCCCAGGGUAGGUGUCAGUGACAUGGGAUGAUAACAGGAACCCGAUGAGCAAAGAUGGACCUAACCAGGGGCAUGCCCCUUUACACAUACUGUCCCUUACACUUGAGAAAGGCCAAAGAUGAGCUCAAGAGGGGGGGGGGAGUCAGCAUUUAAAAUAAGGGCCCAAGGCCAAGGCAGGGUGAAUACUUUAGUCCUGUUCAACUGAGGUCUUAAUUUAGACCCAGGAGAGCAGAAACACCACAGGCCAAGCGAAGCCCAUUGGAAGACCUGGUGGGUCCCUGAGGCCGCCAUGCAGCAACAGGCAGGCUGUGCUCACACAUCAAGCACAUACGUGAACACAGCGGGGAGGGGGAAAAGCAGAGUUCACUGCGUGUGCACAAAAUAAAAAACGCUAACACAUGCUAGAAAGAGGAACCCGACACCGACCAGGUCAGGUCAAACUGACUCUGUCUGCUGUGGGAAUGAGUCACCUGAAGCCUCACAGUGACAGGCACCAGCGCACUCUUCCAACCGGAAGGAGCUGGGGAUAGGAUUCUGCCUCUCUCUUCCUGUGUCUCACUUACUAGGAAGGUAUGAAGCUGUCUUCACCCCCGGCACGCUUUCCACCGCCUCCACGGCUGCUCACACCCUCUACUUUGUUCUAAUCAACUAACUGGUGUUUACAAAUGUGAGGACUCUGUUUCACCGCCCCGACUCGAUACUUCACAUUAGUGUUGGCAUGCACUCACGUAUCCGAGAACAUUUUCCCAGACAAAAAGGUACCACAACAUGUGGGAAGCAAUUAAACAACCACCAUGACUAUAAAAUUUGUGCAUUAAAAUGAUGAUAAAUAAUUUACAAAUGCAACAUUCUGUUUAUAUUCAUUACUAGUCACUAAGCUUGCAUCAGACACUAAGGAGAAAUCCCUGGACAUCUUUGGUGGGAGAAAACACAGUGAGAAAAGAGGUGGG
This is a long non-coding RNA of Peromyscus leucopus (white-footed mouse), 3065 nucleotides long. RefSeq lists it as uncharacterized. The transcript has 2 exons. The record is from RefSeq and is a predicted model, not a curated record. NCBI's taxonomy places the organism in Eukaryota, Metazoa, Chordata, Mammalia, Rodentia, Cricetidae.